UACACCUACUUAAAUUAAACAGUAAUCUCCCUCCUGGGCAUCACACAGAGAGCACCAUGAGAGUAUAUGCGGCGGUAUAAUGUCCCGGCUAACAAUAACCGAAGGAUUUUCCAUUCGACUCGAACCCCCCUUUCUGAAACGGGAGCCUCGCUUCCUAGCGAUGAUGCGCAGGGGGCGGCGAUCUUUAGCUUUGCGCAGUGGCAGUAUCGUAGCCAAUGAGGUUUAUCCGAGGCGCGAUUAUUGCUAAUUGAAAACUUUUCCCAAUACCCCGCCGUGACGACUUGCAAUAUAGUCGGCAUUGGCAAUUUUUGACAGUCUCUACGGAGACUGAAUAACCCCGGUUCAAAGAAAAGCUGUUCCAACUUCUCUGCUCGGUGCUAACCGAGUAUGCAUUUGGAAUUUUAUUUUCCUGAAGUUUCGGAGAUAAAACUCUCUCCCGGUCGCUCAUUUAAAAGAAAUCUCAGAUUUAUUGAGAGAGGGGUCUUCUCACUUGGAUGACUGAGAAUUCGCAACAAUCCUCCGGUCUCCGCCUCCGGAUCUCUCACGGUGUAUCCGUGACUAGCCUGAAACUCGCGGCAAUCCUCCUGCCUUGGCUACUCGAGUGCUGGGGUUUCAGACAAGUCUUGAUGCCCCGCUCUCCCCACCAAAGGUCUGUUUCUGCAUCCGACCGCACGCCGGUCCCCUUCGGCUUACCCGUAAGCUUUCUCCCACCGCGGUGGAGUCUCCACCCCGGGCCUUCGCGAUGACGUCGCCUCGAUUUGCAUAAGCGUCGCCCCAGCAUCCCAAGCGGCGGCUGCGCUCUUUGUAAAUCACGAGCGUCCGGGCCCGAGAUAACCCACCGGCCAGGAUCUGUCCACGCGGACGCCGGAGGCGAAAGGGCAGGGUCAGCGCCCGUCACGUGGCGGUCGCGCGUGGGCGGCAGCUCACCGUGACCGGGAUGGGCAUCUCCGGCCCUGGGAAGCUGAGCGAGCCCGGUCCAUCUCCAGCUUUGCGCAGUGGCAGUAUCGUAGCCAAUGAGGUUUAUCCGAGGCGCGAUUAUUGCUAAUUGAAAACUUUUCCCAAUACCCCGCCAUGACGACUUGAAAUAUAGUCGGCAUUGGCAAUUUUUGACAGUCUCUACGGAGACUGAAUAAUGCGGGUCUAAAAGUCAGAUUCUUCUCCAGCUACUUGGGAUUCACAGUUGCAACUUUCAAUACAGUGUGUUUACUAAGUGUCUUUUUCUCCAUUGGUCCUAAGUAUACAGUAAGGAAGGACGCAAGAAAAAGGGAUCUUGCUAACUUCUUUGGGCGAUUUCUAUUUCUAGUCAUCCCCCUGCCUCUACUUCCGAAAGCUGGGGUUGCAGUCCUGUGCCUUCUCGUUUGCUUUUUUAAGAGAUUCUCACAGCUCCUCGCUAAGGCAAACUCUUCUCCUUUAUCUCCCAUCCAUUCCACUUCCAGACCCCCGAGA
Molecule: long non-coding RNA, 1446 nt
Organism: Peromyscus maniculatus bairdii (prairie deer mouse)
Lineage: Eukaryota; Metazoa; Chordata; Mammalia; Rodentia; Cricetidae
Source: RefSeq, a predicted model, not a curated record